Molecule: ribosomal RNA, 1414 nt
Filed under: Vibrio parahaemolyticus
Lineage: Bacteria; Pseudomonadati; Pseudomonadota; Gammaproteobacteria; Vibrionales; Vibrionaceae
Description: bacterial SSU rRNA
Rfam family: Bacterial small subunit ribosomal RNA
Source: RNAcentral
GUCGAGCGGAAACGAGUUAUCUGAACCUUCGGGGAACGAUAACGGCGUCGAGCGGCGGACGGGUGAGUAAUGCCUAGGAAAUUGCCCUGAUGUGGGGGAUAACCAUUGGAAACGAUGGCUAAUACCGCAUGAUGCCUACGGGCCAAAGAGGGGGACCUUCGGGCCUCUCGCGUCAGGAUAUGCCUAGGUGGGAUUAGCUAGUUGGUGAGGUAAGGGCUCACCAAGGCGACGAUCCCUAGCUGGUCUGAGAGGAUGAUCAGCCACACUGGAACUGAGACACGGUCCAGACUCCUACGGGAGGCAGCAGUGGGGAAUAUUGCACAAUGGGCGCAAGCCUGAUGCAGCCAUGCCGCGUGUGUGAAGAAGGCCUUCGGGUUGUAAAGCACUUUCAGUCGUGAGGAAGGUAGUGUAGUUAAUAGCUGCAUUAUUUGACGUUAGCGACAGAAGAAGCACCGGCUAACUCCGUGCCAGCAGCCGCGGUAAUACGGAGGGUGCGAGCGUUAAUCGGAAUUACUGGGCGUAAAGCGCAUGCAGGUGGUUUGUUAAGUCAGAUGUGAAAGCCCGGGGCUCAACCUCGGAAUUGCAUUUGAAACUGGCAGACUAGAGUACUGUAGAGGGGGGUAGAAUUUCAGGUGUAGCGGUGAAAUGCGUAGAGAUCUGAAGGAAUACCGGUGGCGAAGGCGGCCCCCUGGACAGAUACUGACACUCAGAUGCGAAAGCGUGGGGAGCAAACAGGAUUAGAUACCCUGGUAGUCCACGCCGUAAACGAUGUCUACUUGGAGGUUGUGGCCUUGAGCCGUGGCUUUCGGAGCUAACGCGUUAAGUAGACCGCCUGGGGAGUACGGUCGCAAGAUUAAAACUCAAAUGAAUUGACGGGGGCCCGCACAAGCGGUGGAGCAUGUGGUUUAAUUCGAUGCAACGCGAAGAACCUUACCUACUCUUGACAUCCAGAGAACUUUCCAGAGAUGGAUUGGUGCCUUCGGGAACUCUGAGACAGGUGCUGCAUGGCUGUCGUCAGCUCGUGUUGUGAAAUGUUGGGUUAAGUCCCGCAACGAGCGCAACCCUUAUCCUUGUUUGCCAGCGAGUAAUGUCGGGAACUCCAGGGAGACUGCCGGUGAUAAACCGGAGGAAGGUGGGGACGACGUCAAGUCAUCAUGGCCCUUACGAGUAGGGCUACACACGUGCUACAAUGGCGCAUACAGAGGGCAGCCAACUUGCGAAAGUGAGCGAAUCCCAAAAAGUGCGUCGUAGUCCGGAUUGGAGUCUGCAACUCGACUCCAUGAAGUCGGAAUCGCUAGUAAUCGUGGAUCAGAAUGCCACGGUGAAUACGUUCCCGGGCCUUGUACACACCGCCCGUCACACCAUGGGAGUGGGCUGCAAAAGAAGUAGGUAGUUUAACCUUCGGGGGGACGCU